Molecule: ribosomal RNA, 448 nt
Filed under: uncultured bacterium
Lineage: Bacteria
Description: bacterial SSU rRNA
Rfam family: Bacterial small subunit ribosomal RNA
Source: RNAcentral
GUCCAGACUCCUACGGGAGGCAGCAGUGGGGAAUAUUGCACAAUGGGGGGAACCCUGAUGCAGCGACGCCGCGUGAGUGAAGAAGUAUUUCGGUAUGUAAAGCUCUGUCAGCAGGGAAGAAGAAAGACGGUACCUGACCAAGAAGCCCCGACUAACUACGUGCCAGCAGCCGCGGUAAUACGUAGGGGGCAAGCGUUAUCCGGAUUUACUGGGUGUAAAGGGAGCGUAGACGGCAGGGCAAGUCUGGAGUGAAAGGCAGGGGCCCAACCCCUGGACUGCUCUGGAAACUGUCCGGCUGGAGUGCAGGAGAGGUAAGUGGAAUUCCUAGUGUAGCGGUGAAAUGCGUAGAUAUUAGGAGGAACACCAGUGGCGAAGGCGGCCUUCUGGGCCACGACUGACGCUGAGGCGCGAAAGCUAGGGGAGCGAACAGGAUUAGAUACCCGUGUAU